This 460-nucleotide ribosomal RNA is filed under the name uncultured bacterium. RNAcentral describes it as "partial 16S ribosomal RNA". It matches the Rfam family "Bacterial small subunit ribosomal RNA", at positions 338 to 795 of the family's 1533-position model. The record is from RNAcentral.
CCUACGGGGUGCAGCAGUGAGGAAUAUUGGUCAAUGGACGAGAGUCUGAACCAGCCAAGUAGCGUGAAGGAUGACUGCCCUAUGGGUUGUAAACUUCUUUUAUAAAGGAAUAAAACGAGGCACGUGUGCCUUUUUGCAUGUACUUUAUGAAUAAGGAUCGGCUAACUCCGUGCCAGCAGCCGCGGUAAUACGGAGGAUCCGAGCGUUAUCCGGAUUUAUUGGGUUUAAAGGGAGCGUAGAUGGGUUGUUAAGUCAGUUGUGAAAGUUUGCGGCUCAACCGUAAAAUUGCAAUUGAUACUGGCAGUCGUGAGUACAGUUGAGGUAAGCGGAAUUCGUGGUGUAGCGGUGAAAUGCUUAGAUAUCACGAAGAACCCCGAUUGCGAAGGCAGCUUACUAAACUGUGACUGUCAUUGAUGCUCGAAAGUGUGGGUAUCAAACAGGAUUAGAUACCCCAGUAGUC